Oryza brachyantha (malo sina) is the source of this 2885-nucleotide RNA transcript. RefSeq lists it as uncharacterized. The record is from RefSeq and is a predicted model, not a curated record. The transcript has 6 exons. NCBI's taxonomy places the organism in Eukaryota, Viridiplantae, Streptophyta, Magnoliopsida, Poales, Poaceae.
CCUGCCGCCCGCCCACGGCCACCCCGCCUCGGGCGCCAGGCCGACGACCGCCGCGGCGCCGCUCGCCCCAUCCCGUCAUCGCCGACUCCCACCUGGCCACAGUCGUCGCCCGGCAGACCAGGGUCGGCGCCGCCCGUCGCCCCGCGCCCCUGCCCUCGCCCUGCCGACAGGCGGCUGCCGUGGUGCCGCCUGAUGCCGACCCCGACCUGGCAAUCUGCUCUACUUGGCGCUUUGCCUCCAUGCUUGGCUGCUGCUCCCUGCUCGCCCAGUCAGUCGUCGCCCCGCCCGAUUUGUAUUGGGCUAUUUGAAUUGGGUAAAACAUGAAGAGGCAAGGAGAUAUUGCAUCGCUCUUCUGGAAUCAUGAAGCUAAAUCAAAGAAAAAUACAGCCUGGUCUUUUGACCAGUUGUUGAUGAACCUUAGUUAACUCAAGAAGAACCACAUUGGUUCUGACGGUUGAUGAAGUCCAACCCACGAACAAGAGCUUUAUACGGUACAGGAGAAGAGUAGGACCAGCUCGUUGCUUCGAGUGUGGUGCGCUUGAUCACAUCCGCUCGCAUUGUUCUAAGCUCGGAAGAGGCAAGAAGGAAGAUAAUGAUGGAGACAAGACCAAGGACGAUAAGCCCAAGUUCAAGAGCACAUUCCAGGGAAGAAGAACCAAAGAGAACAUCAAGAAGAUGCUGAAUCAAAUCUAUGCCGAUUUUGAGUCCCUAAGCGAUGUAGAUGGAGAGAGCGAAGAAGAUGAAGCAAAAAACAUCUCUGGUGUCUGCCUCAUGUCGCGUGGUGAAUCAGAUUUAGAAUAUGACGACAAUGAGGCUUUGGUGGUGAGGAAGGAGAACGUGUGGAUCGUGGAUUCCGGUUGUUCGCGUCACAUGACCGGUGAUAAAAAUUGGUUCUCCUCCCUUAGACAAGCAUCCAAGACUGAAUCGAUUAUCUUUGGUGAUGCUUCUACUAGUGCCGUUCUUGCUACAGGUAUGGUCAAGGUACAUUGUCACAAAUUCAGGGGGAGAAUGGUCCUAUUUUUGAAGACGAGAGCGACGACAACGACAAGGUAGGCUCGGUCGGUUAGGUCGGGUGCCAAGCCGGUCAGACCGCCGACCCACCUUUGGUCAGACCAACACAGGAAGUGCGGUCAGACCGACCAGGGUUGUCAGGUGCUGGUUUUGUUGGUGCUAAUCACAAUGGUCCUCCAGAGGCUUCAACCUCGAUCAGUGAGAGUACAAAACGUGAAAUAAGCUCAGAAGUCGUUGCUCCUUUGCACAUUCAAUGACGACAUCCGCUAGAACAAAUCAUUGGUAAUUUUGGUGAGCGAACUACAAGGUCUAAGUUUGCUGAGACUAUGUGCAGGGAAUUUGAGAUGAGCAUGAUAGGUGAGUUAUCAUACUUUUUGGGGUUGCAAAUCAAACAAACACCUCAAGGUAUGUUUGUGCAUCAAAUGAAGUAUACGAAGGAUCUUUUGAGACGAUUCAAGAUGGAGAAUUGCAAGCCAAUUUCAACACCAAUUGGUACUACAACUGUGUUGGAUCCUGAUGAAUUGAUCAAAAGGAGUAUAGAAGCAUGAUUGGAUCUUUGUUGUAUCUAACUGUUUCUAGGCCAGACAUAUAAUUUGUUGUGUGUUUGUGGGCACGUUUUCAAGGUUCUCUUCGUGCUUCACAUCGUCAAGCAGUCAAGCGAAUAAUGAGGUAUUUGCAACAUACACUUGAGUUUGGCAUUUGGUAUUCUACAUCAUCUUCUAUAUGCUUGAGUAGAUAUUCCGAUGCUGAUUUUGCUGGGUGUAGAAUUGAUAGGAAAAGUACUAGUGUAACAUGUCAUUUUCUUGAUACUUCAUUGAUUGCAUGGUCUUCUAGGAAUAAUUCAUCCUUUUGGUAUGGUUUGAGGGAGAGUUUUGCACCUCAUGGUCUUCUCAAGCAAAAUAUGACAAUAAGAAAUUGACAAAGAGAGCUUUGUUUUAUACAUAUAAUAUUUCAUGUGCAUGCUAGCGAUACUAUGAAGGUUUAUUUGUCUCUAGCAUAGCUUGUAUGUAUUCUAGUCUUUUUAUGAGACUUAGAUAUUGCUUUUGAGAGAUAUGAUGCAUGACACUUAAAUUCUAUACUUAAAUUAAGAAAUUAUGCAAUAUUGAUGCUAGCAUAUGGUUUGAUUUAUAAAUGCUUGUAUGUAUGCGUUAUGAUUUGUUAUUCCUCAAAUAGAUUUUAAAUUGCUCAUUGUGCAAGAGAAUAAAAAAUACGAGAGAAAAAAAUGAAUACCGAAUUUUUCGACAGUCUUGACGACAAGGACAUAUUCGAUGUGUGAGGAAAAAAUGGGUGCCGAAUCCUUGGAAACAGUGUUGACGACAAGGACGUACCCGAGUAAUCGAGAGAAAAAUAUGAGCAAAAAGGCUUAAACAACGAAAAAAAAGGUGUUAAAAAUUCUCUUGGUAAUUUUGUGCUAAGGCUAAUUUGAGAAAGAGUGAUAAAUGCAAUAGAUAUAUAUAUUUAGUGUUUAUUCUUCAGUCUAUGUGCCUGUAACAGUGUUGCAUUAUAAAUCAUUUGAAAUCAUGAAUUUUACUUGUUGAGUUGAUCUUAAUUGCAUGAUCUUUGGUUCAUGAUUAUACUUUAAUACAUGCUUGCUAUAUUAUAGAUGCGUUCAUCUUCUUUUUAUUGCAACACAUGACUUAUUAUGCUAUGUGUAUGCUAAGCUCUUGAACAUUAAUGAACAUAAAUUCUACGCUUGAUGAAAUCAUUGUCAAAAGGGGAGAAGAAUUUUGGAAGAGAGAGAGAGCAUGUUUUUGGAAAAAUUCGGAAAUUUCUUUCGUUUCAAAAGUGAAAGAUGUUUCUUUUAAAUGAUUUUUGGAGUUGCUUCACAAAAACAACAAACAAUUUUAAUGUGUUUGUCGAUGUGUUCAUCAAGG